GUAGGUAUAGUUCAAAAAGAACAUUAGAUUGUGAUUCUAAAAAUAAAGGUUAAAGUCCUUUUAUCCACC
This 69-nucleotide transfer RNA is filed under the name Hippocampus erectus (lined seahorse). Its description in RNAcentral is "tRNA-His". It matches the Rfam family "tRNA". Rfam says of the family: Transfer RNA (tRNA) molecules are approximately 80 nucleotides in length. Their secondary structure includes four short double-helical elements and three loops (D, anti-codon, and T loops). Further hydrogen bonds mediate the characteristic L-shaped molecular structure. tRNAs have two regions of fundamental functional importance: the anti-codon, which is responsible for specific mRNA codon recognition, and the 3' end, to which the tRNAs corresponding amino acid is attached (by aminoacyl-tRNA synthetases). tRNAs cope with the degeneracy of the genetic code in two manners: having more than one tRNA (with a specific anti-codon) for a particular amino acid; and 'wobble' base-pairing, i.e. permitting non-standard base-pairing at the 3rd anti-codon position. The record is from RNAcentral. RNAcentral also lists the same sequence under 1 other name. Lineage: Eukaryota; Metazoa; Chordata; Actinopteri; Syngnathiformes; Syngnathidae.